This 746-nucleotide ribosomal RNA is filed under the name uncultured bacterium. Its description in RNAcentral is "bacterial SSU rRNA". It matches the Rfam family "Bacterial small subunit ribosomal RNA", at positions 77 to 795 of the family's 1533-position model. The record is from RNAcentral.
AGCUUGCUCUUUCCGGAAUUGAGUGGCAAACGGGUGAGUAACACGUAAACAACCUGCCUUCAGGAUGGGGACAACAGACGGAAACGACUGCUAAUACCGAAUAAGUUCCAAGAGCCGCAUGGCCCAUGGAAGAAAAGGUGGCCUCUACCUGUAAGCUAUCGCCUGAAGAGGGGUUUGCGUCUGAUUAGCUGGUUGGAGGGGUAACGGCCCACCAAGGCGACGAUCAGUAGCCGGUCUGAGAGGAUGAACGGCCACACUGGAACUGAGACACGGUCCAGACUCCUACGGGAGGCAGCAGUGGGGAAUCUUCCGCAAUGGGCGAAAGCCUGACGGAGCAACGCCGCGUGAGUGAUGACGGCCUUCGGGUUGUAAAACUUUGUGAUCCGGGACGAAAAGGCAGAGUGCGAAGAACAAACUGCAUUGACGGUACCGGAAAAGCAAGCCACGGCUAACUACGUGCCAGCAGCCGCGGUAAUACGUAGGUGGCAAGCGUUGUCCGGAAUUAUUGGGCGUAAAGCGCGCGCAGGCGGCUUCCCAAGUCCCUCUUAAAAGUGCGGGGCUUAACCCCGUGAUGGGAAGGAAACUGGGAAGCUGGAGUAUCGGAGAGGAAAGUGGAAUUCCUAGUGUAGCGGUGAAAUGCGUAGAGAUUAGGAAGAACACCGGUGGCGAAGGCGACUUUCUGGACGAAAACUGACGCUGAGGCGCGAAAGCGUGGGGAGCAAACAGGAUUGGAUACCCUGGUAGUC